Molecule: transfer RNA, 74 nt
Filed under: Agelas schmidtii (Pipes of Pan sponge)
Lineage: Eukaryota; Metazoa; Porifera; Demospongiae; Agelasida; Agelasidae
Description: tRNA-Val
Rfam family: tRNA
About the family: Transfer RNA (tRNA) molecules are approximately 80 nucleotides in length. Their secondary structure includes four short double-helical elements and three loops (D, anti-codon, and T loops). Further hydrogen bonds mediate the characteristic L-shaped molecular structure. tRNAs have two regions of fundamental functional importance: the anti-codon, which is responsible for specific mRNA codon recognition, and the 3' end, to which the tRNAs corresponding amino acid is attached (by aminoacyl-tRNA synthetases). tRNAs cope with the degeneracy of the genetic code in two manners: having more than one tRNA (with a specific anti-codon) for a particular amino acid; and 'wobble' base-pairing, i.e. permitting non-standard base-pairing at the 3rd anti-codon position.
Source: RNAcentral
AGGUGCUUAGCUCAGCGGGUCGGAGCAAUGUAUUUACACUACAAAGGUCAGAAGUUCAAAUCUUCUAGCACCCG